RNAcentral lists this ribosomal RNA (497 nucleotides) under uncultured bacterium. Its description in RNAcentral is "partial 16S ribosomal RNA". It matches the Rfam family "Bacterial small subunit ribosomal RNA", at positions 28 to 507 of the family's 1533-position model. The record is from RNAcentral.
GAUGAACGCUGGCGGCGUGCCUAAUACAUGCAAGUCGAGCGAACAGACGAGGAGCUUGCUCCUCUGACGUUAGCGGCGGACGGGUGAGUAACACGUGGAUAACCUACCUAUAAGACUGGGAUAACUUCGGGAAACCGGAGCUAAUACCGGAUAAUAUAUUGAACCGCAUGGUUCAAUAGUGAAAGACGGUUUUGCUGUCACUUAUAGAUGGAUCCGCGCCGCAUUAGCUAGUUGGUAAGGUAACGGCUUACCAAGGCAACGAUGCGUAGCCGACCUGAGAGGGUGAUCGGCCACACUGGAACUGAGACACGGUCCAGACUCCUACGGGAGGCAGCAGUAGGGUAUCUUCCGCAAUGGGCGAAAGCCUGACGGAGCAACGCCGCGUGAGUGAUGAAGGUCUUCGGAUCGUAAAACUCCGUUAUUAGGGAAGAACAAAUGUGUAAGUAACUAUGCACGUCUUGACGGUACCUAAUCAGAAAGCCACGGCUAACUACGUG